RNAcentral lists this ribosomal RNA (383 nucleotides) under Stygocapitella sp. 210_04. RNAcentral's name for it is "partial large subunit ribosomal RNA". It matches the Rfam family "Bacterial large subunit ribosomal RNA", at positions 1912 to 2585 of the family's 2925-position model. The record is from RNAcentral. Lineage: Eukaryota; Metazoa; Annelida; Polychaeta; Parergodrilidae.
GCCCUCUGACUUUUAACAGCCGCGGUAUCCUAACCGUGCUAAGGUAGCAUAAUCACUUGCCUAUUAAUUAUAGGCUAGAAUGAACGGGAUCACUCACUUAAACUUAUUUUUAUUUAAAUUUAAAUUAAACUUUAAGUCAAAAUACUAAAUUAAAAAGAAAGACAAAAAGACCCUGAAAACUAUUAGAAAUAAUUAGUUGGGGCAACUAUAGACCACUCUAGCGUCUAUUUUUUUUUAAACUCUUAAAAUCUAAAGUAUCCAGUUACUUCAGGGAUAACAGACUAAUUUUAUUAUUUAGACCCAAUAAAUAAUAAAGAUUGGCACCUCGAUGUUGGCUUAUAUUUCCUUCAUAUAGCAACAUAUAUAGAAGGCAGCUGUUCAUC